CAUUUUGAUCAGGACACAUUCGGUGGUUUUAUCCAGGGCUACGAGUUCGACUGCGAGAGAGGAGACGCGGUGGCUCAUGGGCUGGUGACCGUGGAGUGCGACCCUGACACCAUCAGCCACCGGGAGGCGACGUUCCUCGUCCUGAGGAGGGGCGAGUCCGGGAGGAGGGACGCGGUGAGGAUGUUCGAAGCGACCUGCAGGCUCAGGGGAUCCGUGGCGAUCGCCAACGCCUUCCUCGUCGCCAAUUGUGAUGGCCUCAAGAGAUGGAGUAUUUUAGAUACUUGCAUACGGAUGAUCAUUACAACAUUGUCAGACAUGGGGAUAAGAAAUGUAAGUCACGGGGGCAUGUCAAACCCUGAAAGUUAUGCUCUUACCGAAAGUCUAGACAUCAAGUUGAUUAACAUGGGCAAAAAUGAAAAUUCGAGGACGUAUCAGCACGACCUUGCAGAUUUUGGUACAUUUCUGUGCCAGACUCCAUACAUCGGUGCCUCCAAAUGCACUAGUUGGACGGGAUUUCAUUUCUUAAUAAAUUCAAAUGCAAUGUCACAACGGUACUUAUGGGCUGACAUAGUUAAGGGGCAUCCACUUUUUCUUGAUCCGCCAUCAAAACUUAGAUGUUACAUUUAUUUGAAUCAAGCUUAUAAAGGAAUUAGCAUCUAUGAAGAUAUCAUCACUUUUGUAAAGAACAUGAUACUUCAUGGAAGACAGGAGCUCAUGAAUGCAAAUGGGGGGCGAUGGUCAGAUGCACAUUUCUGCCACAAAAUAGGGCAACUUUUUCCAGGGUUCAUGAGUGUGGCCUACGCACUUUCAAAGGCUACAAGGAGUGACUUGAAUAAGUUGCUGGGAAGGGCUUGA
This 855-nucleotide long non-coding RNA is filed under the name Oryza sativa Indica Group (long-grained rice). Its description in RNAcentral is "lncRNA OsZS97_12G014340". The record is from RNAcentral. Lineage: Eukaryota; Viridiplantae; Streptophyta; Magnoliopsida; Poales; Poaceae.